Molecule: ribosomal RNA, 497 nt
Filed under: uncultured bacterium
Lineage: Bacteria
Description: partial 16S ribosomal RNA
Rfam family: Bacterial small subunit ribosomal RNA
Source: RNAcentral
GAUGAACGCUGGCGGCGUGCCUAAUACAUGCAAGUCGAGCGGACGGACGCGAAGCUUGCUUCUCUGAUGUUAGCGGCGGACGGGUGUGUAACACGUGUAUAACCUACCUAUAAGACUGGGAUAACUUCGGGAAACCGGAGCUAAUACCGGAUAAUAUUUUGCACCACAUGGUUCAAUGGUGAAAUACGGUCUUGCUGUCACUUAUCGAUGGAUCCGCGCUGCAUUGGCUAGUUGGUAAGGUCACAGCUUACGAAGGCAACGAUGCAUAGCCGACCUGAGGGGGUGAUCGGCGACAUGAGAACUGAGACAGGGUCCAGAGGCCUAAGGGACGCAGCAGUAGGCAAUCGUACGCAAUGGGCGAAAGCCUGACGGAGCGACGGGGCGCGAGUGAUGAAGGCCUUCGGUGCGUAAAACCCUGUUAUGAGGGAAAAACAUAUGUGUAAGGAACUGUGCACAGCUUGACGGUACCUAAUCAGAAAGCCACGGCUAACUACGUG